AACACAUCCAAGCUUAAGACGGUGCGGUCAGCUUCACAUUCUCAGGAACUCUCCUUCUCUGGGUCUGGCUGAAGUUGAGGAUCUCUUACUCUCUAGGCCACGGAAUUAACCCGAGCAGGCAUGGAGGCCUCUGCUCUCACCUCAUCAGCAGUGACCAGUGUGGCCAAAGUGGUCAGGGUGGCCUCUGGCUCUGCCGUAGUUUUGCCCCUGGGUGAGUGUUCCUGGGAGGGGCUGGUGCUGGGGGCGAGGAGGCGGCUGGGAAGGGCGGGGGUCCUGUCCAGGGACCCGUGGGAGAGAAAAUGGGGGACACCCGCAGCCUUGCUGCCCUGUCCUGUCUUCUCACAGCAGGCGUCCACCCUAACUUUCCAUCUGGGAGGGGGCCCGGGGCAGGCAGACAGACUCUGGCCAGAUGCCCAGCCCUGGGUGUUCCACAGGUCCCCUCCCCUCUGGGCCCGGGCCUCCUCCUGCCUAGCCGGAAAGGGUCUAUCUACCACUGAGUCCCACUCUCUUCAGCUCUCCCUUCCCCCAGAUUCACCAUCAGAAUUCAUCUCCUUUAGGAGUUUACCUUGUCAAUA
Molecule: small RNA, 575 nt
Filed under: Pan troglodytes (chimpanzee)
Lineage: Eukaryota; Metazoa; Chordata; Mammalia; Primates; Hominidae
Description: retained intron
Source: RNAcentral